AAUAUUGGACAAUGGGGGCAACCCUGAUCCAGCCAUGCCGCGUGUGUGAAGAAGGNCUNNGGAUUNUNAAGCACUUUAAGUUGNNNNNAAGGGGUUUGGAUUAAUACCCGGAAGCUUGGACGAUACCAACAGAACAAGCACCGGCAAACGCGUUGCCAGCACCCGCGGUAAUACAGAGGGUGCAAGCGUUAAUCGGAAUUACUGGGCAUAAAGCGCGCGUAGGUGGUUCAGUAAGAUGGGUGUAAAAUCCCCGGGCUUAACCUGGGAACUGCUUUCAUAACUGCUGAGCUAGAGUACGGUAGAGGGUAGUGGAAUUUCCUGUGUAGCGGUGAAAUGCGUAGAUAUAGGAAGGAACACCAGUGGCGAAGGCGACUACCUGGACUGAUACUGACACUGAGGUGCGAAAGCGUGGGGAGCAAAC
Molecule: ribosomal RNA, 421 nt
Filed under: uncultured bacterium
Lineage: Bacteria
Description: partial 16S ribosomal RNA
Rfam family: Bacterial small subunit ribosomal RNA
Source: RNAcentral